AUAACGACUCUCGGCAACGGAUAUCUCGGCUCUCGCAUCGAUGAAGAACGUAGCGAAAUGCGAUACUUGGUGUGAAUUGCAGAAUCCCGUGAACCAUCGAGUCUUUGAACGCAAGUUGCGCCCAAAGCCAGCAGGCUGAGGGCACGUCUGCCUGGGCGUCACGC
This 164-nucleotide ribosomal RNA is filed under the name Paraboea divaricata. RNAcentral's name for it is "5.8S ribosomal RNA". It matches the Rfam family "5.8S ribosomal RNA". From Rfam's summary of the family: 5.8S ribosomal RNA (5.8S rRNA) is a component of the large subunit of the eukaryotic ribosome. It is transcribed by RNA polymerase I as part of the 45S precursor that also contains 18S and 28S rRNA. Lineage: Eukaryota; Viridiplantae; Streptophyta; Magnoliopsida; Lamiales; Gesneriaceae. The record is from RNAcentral.